UACGUAGGGCGCAAGCGUUGUCCGGAAUUAUUGGGCGUAAAGAGCUCGUAGGCGGUUUGUCGCGUCUGCUGUGAAAACCUGAGGCUCAACCUCGGGCUUGCAGUGGGUACGGGCAGACUAGAGUGCGGUAGGGGUGACUGGAAUUCCUGGUGUAGCGGUGGAAUGCGCAGAUAUCAGGAGGGAACACCGGUAGUGGAAGGCGGUGCUGGGCCGCACUGACGCUGAGGAGCGAAAGCUGGGGAGCAAACAGGAUUAGAACCUCGUAGUCA
Molecule: ribosomal RNA, 269 nt
Filed under: uncultured bacterium
Lineage: Bacteria
Description: partial 16S ribosomal RNA
Rfam family: Bacterial small subunit ribosomal RNA
Source: RNAcentral